CCCGAUUUGGACCAACUUGAAAACUGGGCCAAUAAUAAAAAAUCUAAGUACAUUUUUAGAUUCAGCAUAUCAAAGAACCCCAAGGAUUCAAUUUUUGUUAAAAUCAAACUAAGUUUAAUUUUGGACCCUUUGGACCUUAAUGUAGACCAAUUUGAAAACGGGACCAAAAAUUAAGAAUCUACAUACACAGUUAGAUUCGGCAUAUCAAAGAACCCAAAUUAUUCAAUUUUUGAUGAAAUCAAACAAAGUUUAAUUUUGGACCCUU
This 265-nucleotide long non-coding RNA is filed under the name Mytilus galloprovincialis (Mediterranean mussel). Lineage: Eukaryota; Metazoa; Mollusca; Bivalvia; Mytilida; Mytilidae. The record is from RNAcentral.